Molecule: ribosomal RNA, 466 nt
Filed under: uncultured bacterium
Lineage: Bacteria
Description: bacterial SSU rRNA
Rfam family: Bacterial small subunit ribosomal RNA
Source: RNAcentral
UGGGGAAUCUUGGACAAUGGGCGCAAGCCUGAUCCAGCCAUGCCGCGUGCAGGAUGACGGUCCUAUGGAUUGUAAACUGCUUUUGUACAGGAAGAAACAGUUCUACGUGUAGAACCUUGACGGUACUGUAAGAAUAAGGAUCGGCUAACUCCGUGCCAGCAGCCGCGGUAAUACGGAGGAUCCAAGCGUUAUCCGGAAUCAUUGGGUUUAAAGGUCCGUAGGCGGUUAGAUAAGUCAGUGGUGAAAGCCCAUCGCUCAACGGUGGAACGGCCAUUGAUACUGUCUGACUUGAAUUAUUAGGAAGUAACUAGAAUAUGUAGUGUAGCGGUGAAAUGCUUAGAGAUUACAUGGAAUACCAAUUGCGAAGGCAGGUUACUACUAAUGGAUUGACGCUGAUGGACGAAAGCGUGGGUAGCGAACAGGAUUAGAUACCCCAGUAGUCCCUGAGCGGGCUGGCAAGGCGCAU